This 591-nucleotide ribosomal RNA is filed under the name Triticum aestivum (bread wheat). Its description in RNAcentral is "partial small subunit ribosomal RNA". Lineage: Eukaryota; Viridiplantae; Streptophyta; Magnoliopsida; Poales; Poaceae. The record is from RNAcentral.
AUGGUCCAACUACAGAACUUCUUCUUUUUCAUUACUUCCAUGGUCGUGCCCCGUGGCACGGCAGCACCCGUACUAUUGAAAUGGUUCGUCAUUGGAGAUGUUCCCACUGGUGCCUCUUCUUCCAAUGGUACUAUAAUUCCUAUUCCUAUCCCUUUAUUCCCUUUUUUGUUCUAUCUACAUUUAAGGAAAUUCAUACGCUCCAUGGACAGAGCAAAAAGUGGAGUGUUGGUCAAAGCAAGCUGCCCUAUUCUAUUACCAGACAAAAUGGAGAGAAGCUCAUCCGCUAGAAAUGCUUUAUUUCGUUUCGUUCCCGUUCUUCAUUUCCUUAUUAUCGAAUCCAUGGGGGACUUGUCAUAUUUAGAAUCUUUCUGCGGUCUGCUCUGUUUACAAUUCUUUCGUACUCUCUUCUCUUUACCACGCGAUAGGUCAGGGAAGCGUGAGCGGGCGCUCCGAAGUAAAGGCCAAACACUUUGGCCUAAGGGGAAUGAGCAACAAAAUGACAAGACGAGGUGCCCCGGGCACCCCGGUUUGGUAAGGGAGCUAUUCUCUCACUUAAACCACUCCCAUAUUAGGUAUUCUAUCUCGUCUUAA